Molecule: transfer RNA, 67 nt
Filed under: Palaestes scutellaris
Lineage: Eukaryota; Metazoa; Arthropoda; Insecta; Coleoptera; Cucujidae
Description: tRNA-Gly
Source: RNAcentral
AUUUAUAUAAUAUAAAAAAUUAUUUUUGACUUCCAAUCAAAAUAUCUAAAUUAUUUUAGUAUAAAUA